This 348-nucleotide ribosomal RNA is filed under the name Triticum aestivum (bread wheat). RNAcentral's name for it is "partial small subunit ribosomal RNA". The record is from RNAcentral. Lineage: Eukaryota; Viridiplantae; Streptophyta; Magnoliopsida; Poales; Poaceae.
AUGCUCCAUGACCUCCGGAUCAACCUCACCGCGGACCAUCACUACCUACACUACUGGCACGAGCACGAUGAUGAAAACCGCUUCCUAGAAAGGAAGUUCAGUGCUGACCGUGAAAAGUCCAUCGAUCUUCUAACCCGCCAUCGAAACUCGAAGCCGACGACGAUGUCACCCAAAGGAAAUGACGCCGCCAACUACGAUGAGGUCUCCGAGAUCCCUGGCUUGAGCCAGCACUCGUUCGACUGCUUAGGGAGCUCUUUGGCGAGAGUGGCCUUGCAGUUUCGGCUUGGGGCGGCGAAUUGUCUUGGUGCCAAGCUGAUAAAAUUCUUUGCCGAGAAUGCCAUGGGCUAG